UACAGAGGGUGCAAGCGUUAAUCGGAAUUACUGGGCGUAAAGCGUGCGUAGACGGUUGCGUAAGUCAGAUGUGAAAGCCCCGGGCUCAACCUGGGAAUUGCAUUUGAGACUGCGUAGCUAGGGUGCGGAAGAGGGAAGCGGAAUUUCGGUGUAGCGGUGAAAUGCGUAGAUAUCGGAAGGAACACCAGUGGCGAAAGCGGCUUUCCUGGUCCCAGCACCGACGUUCAGGCACGAAAGCGUGGGAGCAAACAGG
Molecule: ribosomal RNA, 253 nt
Filed under: uncultured bacterium
Lineage: Bacteria
Description: partial 16S ribosomal RNA
Rfam family: Bacterial small subunit ribosomal RNA
Source: RNAcentral